Molecule: ribosomal RNA, 464 nt
Filed under: uncultured bacterium
Lineage: Bacteria
Description: bacterial SSU rRNA
Rfam family: Bacterial small subunit ribosomal RNA
Source: RNAcentral
GGAUGAACGCUGGCGGCGUGCCUAACACAUGCAAGUCGAGCGAUUACUUCGGUAAAGAGCGGCGGACGGGUGAGUAACGCGUGGGUAACCUGCCUCAUACACAUGGAUAACAUACCGAAAGGUAUGCUAAUACAGGAUAAUAUAAGAGAUUCACAUGAAUUUCUUAUCAAAGCUCCGGCGGUAUGAGAUGGACCCGCGUCUGAUUAGCUAGUUGGUAAGGUAAUGGCUUACCAAGGCGACGAUCAGUAGCCGACCUGAGAGGGUGAUCGGCCACAUUGGAACUGAGACACGGUCCAAACUCCUACGGGAGGCAGCAGUGGGGAAUAUUGCACAAUGGGCGAAAGCCUGAUGCCAGCAACGCCGCGUGAGUGAUGAAGGCCUUCGGGUCGUAAAACUCUGUCCUCAAGGAAGAUAAUGACGGUACUUGAGGAGGAAGCCCCGGCUAACUACGUGCCAGCCGCAGC